GGGGUUGUAGCUCAAUGGCUGAGUGCUUGCCUCGCAUGCGUGAGGCACUGGGUUCUAUCCUCAGCACCCCA
This 71-nucleotide transfer RNA is filed under the name Marmota marmota marmota (Alpine marmot). It matches the Rfam family "tRNA". From Rfam's summary of the family: Transfer RNA (tRNA) molecules are approximately 80 nucleotides in length. RNAcentral also lists the same sequence under 1 other name. The record is from Rfam by way of RNAcentral. Lineage: Eukaryota; Metazoa; Chordata; Mammalia; Rodentia; Sciuridae.